GAAUAUGAGCCAGUAGUGUGCCUAGGUGGCCAAGGUGGCCAAUAACAUCCUAGUUUGUAUCAGAAAUAGUGUGGCCAGCAGGACAAUGGAAGUGAUUGAGUGAUUCUCCCCCUCUACUC
Long non-coding RNA from Athene cunicularia (burrowing owl), 119 nucleotides. RefSeq lists it as uncharacterized. The record is from RefSeq and is a predicted model, not a curated record. Lineage: Eukaryota; Metazoa; Chordata; Aves; Strigiformes; Strigidae. The transcript has 3 exons.